CCGAGAAAACCAACAGUCCCACCUCUUGAAAAGCAACAAAACAUGGGGAAACUAAUCGUUGAAAAAAGUUCAUCAUUUCUGAUAUUUUCAUAGCCUUUCCCCUGCAAAAACCCUUCUUCUUCCUAAAAACAACAUAGUCCCCAGAUCUCUUCAGAAAAUCAAACCUCUCCUAUCCCUCUCCAUUGCUCCUCUUGCAAACUCAGGGACUUCAUCUCGUAAGCUCCAUUGUUCUCCUGUCUUCAAGCCUUCAACAAAUAGUAGGUGUGGAACUCCAUUCACUGUUCAAGGACAAUAUUUGAAAAUACAGAUAGUGCAUUUCCUUCAACCUCCGUGUCCAUUAAACCUAGCCUCAAUCCCUUCUGGAUACUUUGAAUGCAUGCAAGCACUUCGGCCGCAAAGACAGAAGGCCGCGUCAAAAUUGAUUAUCACGAACGGGGAUUUCGACGAUUGCCAGCUUUUUGACUCCAUCGAUCUAACAUUUUACAACUUUGGUGCCCAUGCUGAAUCUUGAACUAAAAUUUUGAUCCCACUACUUGCUCUCCAACCCAACCCCUCCUAGAGCACUCCCUUCGCAACCCAGAUACUCUUCUAGGUAUCGGAAGAUCAAGAAAAGAAACUUUCAAAAUUAAAUCGAGGAAAGGAUAAAGUCGUGAACUAAACGAUCGUAUUUCUUCGUACGAGUUUAAGUAUUGGAUUCCAAUCGAGCAGACUUCGAUGACAUUGAAAGUAACGCACUAGCCUCCAUUCACGGAGUAUCGUCUUCUGGUUCGAGACUCGUAUCUGAGGGUUGUGGAGGAGAGGCUAAGGAAGCCUUCUUCCCAAUGAUGAAUGAAUGGUUCACCAAGUUCGUACGGACGAACACGGUUGCUCAACAACCUCCACCCCCUCCUAUUCCCCAAUCAAUUCCCGUUAUUCCUCAGUGUACUGAACCAAUCUGAGUUAUUAAACCUCCUGUUGAUAAAAUUCGCAAAUACGGGGCUGAAGAGUUUAGGGCCGCAGUUGAUGCUGAUCCAAAGAGAGUCGAGUUUUGGCUAGAGAAUAUGAUCAAGGCUUUUGAUGAACUGUCUUGUAAGCCAUCAAAAUGUGUUAAAUGUGCUGUAUCUCUUUUGAAAUAUUUAGCUUACUAGUGGUGGAAUACCUUGAUUUUAGUGGUGCCGAGAGAGAGAAUCACUUGGGAAUUCUUCCAAUCUGAGUUUCGUAAGAAAUAUUAGUCAACGAUUUCUCGAUCAAAAGCGUAAGGAAUUUCUAGAAUUGAAAUAGGAUCGUAUGACCAUAUCUAAAUAUGAAAGAGAAUUCGUCUGAUUAAGUAAGUAUGCCCGAGAGUGCAUUCCCACUGAAGUAGUUGUGUAAACAUUUUGUAGACGGGUUGAAUGAAGACAUUAAGUUGUUAGUUGGAAUACUUGAACUGAAAGAGUUUGUUGUCUUAUUUGAUAGAGCAUACAAAGCCGAAGAGCUUAGCAAAGAAAAGAGAAGCUGAAUUUGAAGCUAGAGAUUCAAGGAAGAAAUUUACAGGAAAGUCUUAUCAAUUAACAUCGAAGAAAUCUAAAGAACACCAUUACCAUCCUGCUGUUUGUUUCAGGUGUGGUUCUUUUGACCACUACCUUAGAGAUUGUCUUGAGAAGUCUGAGAAAGAAAAAGCUCAAUCUGUGAGGCCGAGCAGUAUUGUUACUGGAGGGAGACCACCUUGAAACACUGGAAAUAUGAGUGGUAGUCGAAGUGCAAUGAGGGAUUUUGUAGUGAGAUCCGGGGCACGGGCGCCAGCUAGAGCUUAAGCCAUUUGUGCUCGCGAAGAUGCUUUGGUGCCAAAUAUUAUCACUGUUACUUUUUCUCUUUAUAACACUGAUGUAACUGCUUUAAUUGAUCCCAGAUCAACUCAUUCAUAUAUAUGUACAAACUUAGAAUCUAGUAUGUCCUAAUUGAAAAAGUUUGCAAGAAUUGAAUGUAUCUGCAUGGUUUUUGAAUUGAAUGAGAAAUGUACAUGAAAUGUUUGAUUGAUUGAGUUAUAAGUUUGGUAA
Gossypium raimondii (Peruvian cotton) is the source of this 2015-nucleotide long non-coding RNA. RefSeq lists it as uncharacterized. The transcript has 6 exons. The record is from RefSeq and is a predicted model, not a curated record. Lineage: Eukaryota; Viridiplantae; Streptophyta; Magnoliopsida; Malvales; Malvaceae.